RNAcentral lists this long non-coding RNA (917 nucleotides) under Marmota monax (woodchuck). The record is from RNAcentral. Lineage: Eukaryota; Metazoa; Chordata; Mammalia; Rodentia; Sciuridae.
UUUUAAUCAGAUUUCAGACUUGUUAUUUGCAGAAGGAUUAGUCCAUCAUUGCCAAAUGCUGGAUGCUCUUUGUACUCUUUUGCCUACUAAAAGUUUGCAAUUUUCCUUGAGAUAAGAAAUAAGAAAAAAGCGGUGGCGUGGCAGGUCUUAACUUUCAUUCUCAAGAGUCUAAAGCCUAAAAAUGAAUUUUCCUUUCUUAAUAUGGCACUUAAAUUAAAAUGCAUUAAGAAAAAAAUUUUCAAAAUCUUUGAUGCUGGGAGGGGAGACCCCAACCUGAGCAUCUAGGGGAAGGGAAACUUAUUGGGUCUGUUCCGUUACGUGCAGUUCCAGAAAGACACCAGCAGGGGGAAAAUAGUUUUGUAUUUUGCACCAAAGCCCGCGCGGCGCGGCUAAUUCUCCAACCAAAGGAAGAAAGGGAAGAGCGUCCGGAGACCUCGGUCAUUACUCGGGAAAACUGGCCUGGAAGAAUCGCUCGGAACGCAGAGGACCCGCGAAAUUGGGUACACAUACUCGCAGUAGUCCUCUCUUUCGAGGCACACGGGGUAACUUGGCUGAGACUCCCUGGUGACUGUCCAGCUCGGGACUCGGCUGCAGCAGCGCAAAGCUUCCUCCAGAGCGCUGCGGGCAGGAGGGACCCAGGUGUGGCCGCGCCCGGGGCGGAGGGUACCAGGUGAGCACGCACCCCAGGCCGAGUGCGAUCCAGGUGAGUGUAGCUGGAGUCCAUGGGGGACCCAGCGAGCCCGCGCCCAGGUGCGCAGCGGAGCCAGGGCAGCAGAGUCCAGCGAUACUAGGGUCUCGGUCAGGUUUGGGUUUAGGACUUAAGCAGUCUGUGGGCAAAAUGAGUUGCAGCGAAGAGCUGCGCGCUCAUGAUCCAGGCUACGGGCCUGGGCACAGCUGUGUGGUCAAGGGCUGCGGCC